RNAcentral lists this ribosomal RNA (927 nucleotides) under uncultured bacterium. RNAcentral describes it as "bacterial SSU rRNA". It matches the Rfam family "Bacterial small subunit ribosomal RNA", at positions 8 to 917 of the family's 1533-position model. The record is from RNAcentral.
CAGGGUUUGAUCCUGGCUCAGGAUGAACGCUGGCUACAGGCUUAACACAUGCAAGUCGAGGGGAAACGGCAUUGAGUGCUUGCACUGAAUGGACGUCGACCGGCGCACGGGUGAGUAACGCGUAUCCAACCUUCCCGUUACUGCGGGAUAACCUGCCGAAAGGCAGACUAAUACCGCAUGUUCUUCGAUGACGGCAUCAGAUUCGAAGCAAAGACUCGUCGGUAACGGAGGGGGAUGCGUCUGAUUAGCUAGUUGGCGGGGCGACGGCCCACCAAGGCNGACGAUCAGUAGGGGUUCUGGAGAGGAAGGUCCCCCACAUUGGAACUGAGACACGGUCCAAACUCCUAACCGGGAGGCAGCAGUGAGGAAUAUUGGUCAAUGGGCGGAAGCCUGAACCAGCCCMAGUAAGCGUGCAGGACGACGGCCCUACGGGUUGUAAACUGCUUUUAUGCGGGGAUAAAGUGAGGGACGUGUCCCUUUUUGCNAGGUACCGCAUGAWUACAGGMCCGGCUAAUUYCGUGCCAGCAGCCGCGGUAAUACGGAAGGUCCGGGCGUUAUCCGGAUUUAUUGGGUUUAAAGGGAGCGUAGGCCGGGGAUUAAGUGUGUUGUGAAAUGUAGGCGCCCAACGUCUGACUUGCAGCGCAUACUGGUUCCCUUGAGUACGCGCAACGCCGGCGGAAUUCGUCGUGUAGCGGUGAAAUGCUUAGAUAUGACGAAGAACCCCGAUUGCGAAGGCAGCCGGCGGGAGCGCAACUGACGCUGAAGCUCGAAGGUGCGGGUAUCGAACAGGAUUAGAUACCCUGGUAGUCCGCACGGUAAACGAUGGAUGCCCGCUGUCGGCGCCUUGCGCCGGCGGCCAAGCGAAAGCGUUAAGCAUCCCACCUGGGGAGUACGCCGGCAACGGUGAAACUCAAAGGAAUUGACGGG